UUGUAAUAGAAAGGACACAAUCAGCUCAACAAAAGACUUGUCAUAGAGGGCUCAGAACAGCUGGAUCCCAACCAGCCCAGGCCUCCAGGUAGUGGACCUGCUCAUGGACCAGUAGACAUGUCCCAGUCACGAGCAGAUGGACCAAAACAGCCAUAUCUAAAGGUUUACCCUUGGACCGUGUACAACGACAGGAGACGGGGCUUCAACUAUGUGAUUCUCCAUUCAUAAGUGGUUGGAGUAUAAUAAUUUCCAUGUUUACUGCUUAUUGGUCACACAGAUCCCUGAGUGAGUGAGUGCCCUCUCUUUGCCAUUUUGCCCCUGUAAUUUUGUCUUUGGUCACAAAUAUCGAUAAAAUAAACACAUGAGAAUGUAAAUAAAUGCAAAUUGAUAAUAAAUGUGCAAUCUAAUGGAGAGAAGAGUCAGUGUGCUGAUGUUCAUUAAGGUUGUUUGAGUAGGUCAACGCUGUAGUCGCCAUAUACAUUGAGAGGAACAAGUCUGUUCAGAUAUGCCCAAAAUG
Melanotaenia boesemani (Boeseman's rainbowfish) is the source of this 517-nucleotide long non-coding RNA. RefSeq lists it as uncharacterized. The record is from RefSeq and is a predicted model, not a curated record. Lineage: Eukaryota; Metazoa; Chordata; Actinopteri; Atheriniformes; Melanotaeniidae. The transcript has 3 exons.